This 347-nucleotide ribosomal RNA is filed under the name Gynandrobrotica lepida. Its description in RNAcentral is "partial 12S ribosomal RNA". The record is from RNAcentral. Lineage: Eukaryota; Metazoa; Arthropoda; Insecta; Coleoptera; Chrysomelidae.
UUAAAUGUAAUUAUUUUAUUAAAUUAUUAAUAGUUAAGAUCUUUAAAAUUAAAAAUUUUGGCGGUAUUUUAGUCUAUUCAGAGGAACCUGUUCUAUAAAUGAUAGUCCACGAUUAAAUUUACUUUUAUUAUUAAUUUAUAUAUCAUCGUAAUAAAAUAUUUUUUUAGAAUAAUAAUAUUUAUAAUUUUUAAUUAAAAAAUUAAUCAGAUCAAGGUGUAGUUUAUAUAAAAGUAGAAAUGGGUUACAUUUAUUUUUAAUUUUAAAUUUUUAAUUUUAUAUUAAAAUGAAAGUGGAUUUGAUUGUAAUAAUAAUUAGUUUAUUAAUAUGAUUUUAGCUCUAAAAUAUGU